GGCGGUUUUUGGGUGAUGCACCCCGGAAUUGGGCUCUCUCUUCUUUGGUUCUGGGGUGCAUCACCUGAGAACCACU
Myotis davidii is the source of this 76-nucleotide non-coding RNA. Lineage: Eukaryota; Metazoa; Chordata; Mammalia; Chiroptera; Vespertilionidae. The record is from Rfam.